Molecule: ribosomal RNA, 253 nt
Filed under: uncultured bacterium
Lineage: Bacteria
Description: partial 16S ribosomal RNA
Rfam family: Bacterial small subunit ribosomal RNA
Source: RNAcentral
UACGUAGGGUGCGAGCGUUAAUCGGAAUUACUGGGCGUAAAGCGUGCGCAGGCGGUCUGUUAAGACCGAUGUGAAAUCCCCGGGCUCAACCUGGGAAUUGCGAUGGAGACUGCACGGCUAGAGUGUGUCAGAGGGGGGUAGAAUUCCACGUGUAGCAGUGAAAUGCGUAGAUAUGUGGAGGAACACCGAUGGCGAAGGCAGCCCCCUGGGAUAACACUGACGCUCAUGCACGAAAGCGUGGGGAGCAAACAGG